AACGAACGCUGGCGACAUGCCUAACACAUGCAAGUCGAACGAGACCUUCGGGUCUAGUGGCGCACGGGUGCGUAACGCGUGGGAACCUGCCCUUAGGUUCGGAAUAACUCCCCGAAAGGGGUGCUAAUACCGGAUAAUGUCUUCGGACCAAAGAUUUAUCGCCUUUGGAUGGGCCCGCGUUGGAUUAGCUAGUUGGUAGGGUAAAAGCCUACCAAGGCGACGAUCCAUAGCUGGUCUGAGAGGAUGAUCAGCCACACUGGGACUGAGACACGGCCCAGACUCCUACGGGAGGCAGCAGUGGGGAAUAGUGGACAAUGGGCGAAAGCCUGAUCCAGCAAUGCCGCGUGAGUGAUGAAGGCCUUAGGGUUGUAAAGCUCUUUUACCCGGGAUGAUAAUGACAGUACCGGGAGAAUAAGCGCCGGCUAACUCCGUG
RNAcentral lists this ribosomal RNA (433 nucleotides) under uncultured bacterium. Its description in RNAcentral is "partial 16S ribosomal RNA". It matches the Rfam family "Bacterial small subunit ribosomal RNA", at positions 29 to 507 of the family's 1533-position model. The record is from RNAcentral.